CCUACGGGUGGCAGCAGUCGAGAAUCAUUCACAAUGGGGGAAACCCUGAUGGUGCGACGCCGCGUGGGGGAAUGAAGGUCUUCGGAUUGUAAACCCCUGUCAUGUGGGGGCAAAUUAAAAAGAUAGUACCACAAGAGGAAGAGACGGCUAACUCUGUGCAAGCAGCCGCGGUAAUACAGAGGUCUCAAGCGUUGUUCGGAAUCACUGGGCGUAAAGCGUGCGGAGGCUGUUUCGUAAGUCGUGUGUGAAGGGCGCGGGCUCAACCCGCGGACGGCACAUGAUACUGCGAGACUAGAGUAGUGGAGGGGGAACCGGAAUGCUCGGUGUAGCAGUGAAAUGCGUAGAUAUCGAGAGGAACACUCGUGGCGAAGGCAGGUUCCUGGACAUUAACUGACGCUGAGGCACGAAGGCCAGGGGAGCGAAAGGGAUUAGAUACCCGAGUAGUC
Molecule: ribosomal RNA, 446 nt
Filed under: uncultured bacterium
Lineage: Bacteria
Description: partial 16S ribosomal RNA
Rfam family: Bacterial small subunit ribosomal RNA
Source: RNAcentral